UGGGGAAUAUUGCACAAUGGGGGAAACUCUGAUAGCAGCAACGCCGCGUGAGUGAUGAAGGUCUUCGGAUUGUAAAACUCUGUCUUUGGGGACGAUAAUGACGGUACCCAAGGAGGAAGCCACGGCUAACUACGUGCCAGCAGCCCCGGGAAUUAAA
RNAcentral lists this ribosomal RNA (157 nucleotides) under uncultured Clostridium sp. RNAcentral describes it as "partial 16S ribosomal RNA". It matches the Rfam family "Bacterial small subunit ribosomal RNA", at positions 355 to 525 of the family's 1533-position model. Lineage: Bacteria; Bacillati; Bacillota; Clostridia; Eubacteriales; Clostridiaceae. The record is from RNAcentral.